AUUGAACGCUGGCGGCAGGCCUAACACAUGCAAGUCGAGCGGAGCGGAGGACGGGUGAGUAAUGCCUAGGAAUCUGCCUGGGAGUGGGGGAUAACGUCAGGAAACGGGCGCUAAUACCGCAUACUAUCAGAUGAGCCUAGGUCGGAUUAGCUGGUUGGUGGGGUUAAGGCAUACCAAGGCGACGAUCCGUAACUGGUCUGAGAGGAUGAUCAGGCACACUGGAACUGAGACACGGUCCAGACUCCUACGGGAGGCAGCAGUGGGGAAUAUUGGACAAUGGGCGCAAGCCUGAUGCAGCCAUGCCGCGUGUGUGAAGAAGGCCUUCGGGUUGUAAAGCACUUUCAGCGGGGAGGCGUUACCCGCAGAAGAAGCACCGGCUAACUCCGUGCCAGCAGCCGCGGUAAUUC
RNAcentral lists this ribosomal RNA (407 nucleotides) under uncultured bacterium. Its description in RNAcentral is "partial 16S ribosomal RNA". It matches the Rfam family "Bacterial small subunit ribosomal RNA", at positions 30 to 526 of the family's 1533-position model. The record is from RNAcentral.